This 558-nucleotide ribosomal RNA is filed under the name Triticum aestivum (bread wheat). Its description in RNAcentral is "partial small subunit ribosomal RNA". Lineage: Eukaryota; Viridiplantae; Streptophyta; Magnoliopsida; Poales; Poaceae. The record is from RNAcentral.
AUGAGGGGGGGGGGGUUCUGGAAUGUGAGAGGCAUUAGGCAAGAUCACAAAAAAAGGUAUAUUAGAGAGAUGAUCAUAGAUCAUAGGUUGGACUUUGUGGGGAUUUCUGAGACUAUUAAACAAGACUUUACCAAAAAUGAAUUGCAUAAUUUGUGUGGGAAAAAAAAUUACCAAUGGUGCUGGAACCCCCCAAGAGGAAUGUCAGGGGGGAUACUAGUGAGCAUUAAUAAAGAUAUGUUUGAUGUUGAACACAUUGAAAAAGGGCAAUAUUUCCUGAGAGUUUUAAUUUUUGACAAGAAUAUUAAAAUGCACUGGAAUUUAGUCACAGUAUAUGGGGAUGCACAGAAAGAAGGGAAAGCUAGUUUCCUUGCUGAAUUAGCCAGACUAUAUCAUGACAAUCCUCUCCCCUGUUUGGUUGGAGGGGAUUUCAACAUUAUAAGAAACAACAGAGAGAAAAACAAACCUAUGGUAAAUGAACAUUGGUCCUUUUUGUUCAAUGCUAUUAUUGAACAAGCUGGAUUAAGAGAGCUUCCUUUGAAUGGUAGACAAUACACCUAG